Molecule: non-coding RNA, 21 nt
Filed under: Caenorhabditis elegans
Lineage: Eukaryota; Metazoa; Nematoda; Chromadorea; Rhabditida; Rhabditidae
Source: RNAcentral
UAAUUCGGUUACAUCCAAUAG